AAGCAACUUUGGGAUUAGAGUAUAUCCUGGUCCGCCGCCGCCGCCGCCGCCGCGCCGCCGCUCAUAUGAGCAUCUGUCGUUCGGACUUAGGGGUUUUUUUGAUCUCUCGCUCUCCUAAACCUUUAGGGUCUAGAAACUUCCUCUACCUCUACCUCUAGCUCUCCCUGAGGGUCCUCGUCUCCUCCUACACCUAGCGUCUGGUGAGCAACUUCGUACGCUUCUACGAUCGUCUCAAGCCGAUACUAUACGGCUCGUCCUUCUGGUGAUACAGGGACUCCUUCCUCCGGAGGUGCAGGGACUCCAACCUUCUACCUCCGAACCAACUGCGAGAAACAGCGGUGGCACUCUAGGACUCCUCCCUUUGGUUGAAGAACUACCCCCUCCAGUUAAGUGCCCGCGAACGUUGAAAUCCGCCUUCCUUCCGAAUGUCCCUCAGCUAGGUUGCCCUCUUGUUACAGCGGCAGCGAGAAGAGGCUAAGCAAGCGGAGUUCUUGCCAGCUGAACCACCCCCACUCGAACGGGGUGAAACAGUGGUCGGUACUCCUCAGGGACCUAGAAGAGAACGCGCUCAGCCUAGUAGACCCGGCGGCCUAGGUCAGAGACCGCAGGUAUUACUCCUUUAAACUAUAGGGGCAGAGGAGGCUGUUCGGGUUUUUCGACGACAAAGAGUACAGUGCGCGUCGACACUAUUAGAGGUUCUGAUACUUCUUAAUAAGGUUCCUCCUACGAUGAAGAAGUUUCGAAGAAGUGGCACGGGUGACCCUUAGAUAUACCCCGUCAGUCUACCGUUCGGUACCACAGAAGCUACUAUAUUCAUAAAAACAACAGUCGAACGAAAGAAGAAGAAUUAAUGAUGGGUACAGGGCAAGUUAAUUAUUACGUUAGCCUGGUGAGAGAUAAAAGUGAGAAGCAUAUGAACGAAUUAAUUAAAACAUUAAACAAUUAUAUCUAAAAAAAACGCCAACUAAUUCUAUCUAAAAGAUUGUUACGUGAGAACAAACUGAAACUAAAACCACGACGUGCGUCGGUGUGACUCAGGAUACGUUAAGUGCGGUAGGUGUGGACCAUAAUGAGGGAUGAGACGAUGGUGGACGGGUCGUAACGUCUAGAUGAGAUAGUUUUAACAACUGGAGUUGCAGUUGAACUCGACCGGCGAGGCUCACAUGCCACAACAGCGGCGGUCUCUGUGACACCUGGCGUUGGCGUUGGAAGAGAAGAUGGCCAGGUCCCGAUUGAUGGUUAAUCAGCUCUUUCUACUAGGAAAAAACGCGAACUGACCGGGCAGAGCGCGUUAAAACCGGUCGUUGGGCCACUGUAAACUUCAACUUGAUUUUUGACACAUAGGACCUCGCCUCGGCCUAGGGGUUCCGCGUAACGAGAGAACGCAGAUACUAACCGCGCGGCACGUCCUAUGGUGGGGAUACAAGGAACCGAUACGAACAAGACGUGUCAAUUCGGAACUCGUUGAAGGAUCUCGUUAGGUCCGGUGAUAGUACCCACAGGUGUAACAACUACCGAGUACCGGAGGAUUUAUACCUACGGCCCAAAGAACGAGGAACAGACGAGGUCUACUAGGGUGAGGAUCCCUUCACAACAACGAACUAACAAGGGCAAGACUACGACUUUUUUUUUUCGGGACAACCUAGUCUACCGAUGAAACCAGACCGUUCCUUACAACAAAGUCGACUUGAUGUUAGUUGUGACUUUCAACAGUAUGUUCGGGUCAGCACCUCCGUACCACCACGUGUCCCAGUACAGCUCAAGGGACAGGUUGUUAUGACGGUUUGUUCGUUCCCAAGUACACAACAUCCGUACACAUUCCAGCUCCAACAACAACGAACCAGGGAGGAACAGCUCUUGUUCGACUUAGAGUACGAAACUCUGCACUCUAGAUGAUACAUUCUCAGUCGAGAUCGAACGCUGAGUAGAACUGGGUCUAUAAGCACAUGACUGAUAAUCGAAUAGAACACUUUGUAACAAUACGACCACCAAACGAUCGUACAAUUCGUAAAGACAAGCCUGGUUGAUACAUUCUACAACUCAUAGUCAAGACCAAAGACAGUAGGUUG
Molecule: ribosomal RNA, 2069 nt
Filed under: Triticum aestivum (bread wheat)
Lineage: Eukaryota; Viridiplantae; Streptophyta; Magnoliopsida; Poales; Poaceae
Description: partial small subunit ribosomal RNA
Source: RNAcentral